GGACCCGCACAAGCGGUGGAGCAUGUGGUUUAAUUCGAUGCAACGCGAAAAACCUUACCUAUACUUGACAUACUUGGAAUGCUUUGUAAUGAAGCAGUGCCUUCGGGAGCCAAGAUACAGGUGCUGCAUGGCUGUCGUCAGCUCGUGUCGUGAGAUGUUCCGUUAAGUCGGAUAACGAGCGCAACCCUUACCCUUAUUUGCCAGCGAUUCGGUCGGGAACUAUAAGGGGACUGCCGGUGAUAAACCGGAGGAAGGUGAGGACGACGUCAAGUCAUCAUGGCCCUUACGUAUAGGGCUACACACGUGCUACAAUGGAGAAUACAGACGGACGCUAAGCCGCGAGUGGUGCU
RNAcentral lists this ribosomal RNA (350 nucleotides) under uncultured bacterium. RNAcentral describes it as "bacterial SSU rRNA". It matches the Rfam family "Bacterial small subunit ribosomal RNA", at positions 917 to 1269 of the family's 1533-position model. The record is from RNAcentral.